CCUACGGGACGCACCAGUAAGGAAUAUUGGUCAAUGGGCGGAAGCCUGAACCAGCCAUGCCGCGUGCAGGAUGACUGCCCUAUGGGUUGUAAACUGCUUUUGUCCAGGAAUAAACCUAUCUACGUGUAGAUAGCUGAAUGUACUGGAAGAAUAAGGAUCGGCUAACUCCGUGCCAGCAGCCGCGGUAAUACGGAGGAUCCGAGCGUUAUCCGGAUUUAUUGGGUUUAAAGGGUGCGUAGGCGGCCUAUUAAGUCAGGGGUGAAAUACGGUGGCUCAACCAUCGCAGUGCCUUUGAUACUGAUGGGCUUGAAUCCAUUUGAAGUGGGCGGAAUAAGACAAGUAGCGGUGAAAUGCAUAGAUAUGUCUUAGAACUCCGAUUGCGAAGGCAGCUCACUAAGCUGGUAUUGACGCUGAUGCACGAAAGCGUGGGGAUCGAACAGGAUUAGAUACCCUGGUAGUC
RNAcentral lists this ribosomal RNA (460 nucleotides) under uncultured bacterium. RNAcentral describes it as "bacterial SSU rRNA". It matches the Rfam family "Bacterial small subunit ribosomal RNA", at positions 338 to 795 of the family's 1533-position model. The record is from RNAcentral.